RNAcentral lists this ribosomal RNA (560 nucleotides) under Apatizanclea divergens. Its description in RNAcentral is "partial large subunit ribosomal RNA". It matches the Rfam family "Bacterial large subunit ribosomal RNA", at positions 1891 to 2608 of the family's 2925-position model. The record is from RNAcentral. Lineage: Eukaryota; Metazoa; Cnidaria; Hydrozoa; Anthoathecata; Zancleidae.
AAUUAAAGAAAUAAACUAACUUUAAAUAAAUUAAAAGGACGCGGUAUCCUGACCGUGAUAAUGUAGCAUAAUCAUUCGCCAUUUAAUUGAUGGAUAGUAUGAAUGGUAAAACGAGUAUAACACUGUCUUAAGAAGAAUCCUUAUGAAAUUAGAAUAAUAGUAAAGAUACUAUUUAAAACUGUAAGACGAGAAGACCCUAUAGAGCUUAACUACAACUCUUUAAAAACAAUAAAUUAAUUUAUCAAAAUAAAGAGAUAGGUAGUUUAGUUGGGGCGACUGUUUUCUAUAAUAAACGAAAACAAACAAAAUUAAUUAAAUAAUUUACUGUAUAAUAUAUCGAUUUAACAGUUAUAAUAAUAGGUAAUAAUGACCCGCUACUUAUAUAUAAAAAUAGUAACGAUCAAUAAAUAAAAGCUACCUUAGGGAUAACAGGAUAAUCUUGUUCUAGAGACCCUAUCGAAAACAAGGUUUGUCACCUCUAUGUUGAAUUAAGAUAUCCUAGGAGUGCAGAAGCUCCUAAAGGUAGGUCUGUUCGACCUAUAAAAUCUUACAUGAUUUGA